This 301-nucleotide ribosomal RNA is filed under the name uncultured bacterium. Its description in RNAcentral is "partial 16S ribosomal RNA". It matches the Rfam family "Bacterial small subunit ribosomal RNA", at positions 509 to 808 of the family's 1533-position model. The record is from RNAcentral.
CAGUAGCCGGGUAAUACAGAGGGUGCGAGCGUUAAUCGGAUUUACUGGGCGUAAAGCGUGCGUAGGCGGCUUCUUAAGUCGGAUGUGAAAUCCCUGAGCUUAACUUAGGAAUUGCAUUCGAUACUGGGAAGCUAGAGUAUGGGAGAGGAUGGUAGAAUUCCAGGUGUAGCGGUGAAAUGCGUAGAGAUCUGGAGGAAUACCGAUGGCGAAGGCAGCCAUCUGGCCUAAUACUGACGCUGAGGUACGAAAGCAUGGGGAGCAAACAGGAUUAGAUACCCCAGUAGUCCCUGUCUCUUAUACA